This 206-nucleotide ribosomal RNA is filed under the name uncultured bacterium. RNAcentral's name for it is "partial 16S ribosomal RNA". It matches the Rfam family "Bacterial small subunit ribosomal RNA", at positions 29 to 265 of the family's 1533-position model. The record is from RNAcentral.
AACGAACGCUGGCGGCAGGCUUAACACAUGCAAGUCGAACGCCCCGCAAGGGAGUGGCAGACGGGUGAGUAACACGUGGGAACAUGCCCAAAGGUACGGAACAACUCCGGGAAACUAGAGCUAAUACCGUAUGUGUCCGUAAGGAGAAAGAUUUAUCGCCUUUGGAUUGGCCCGCGUCGGAUUAGCUAGUUGGUGGGGUAAAAGCC